This 726-nucleotide ribosomal RNA is filed under the name uncultured bacterium. RNAcentral describes it as "bacterial SSU rRNA". It matches the Rfam family "Bacterial small subunit ribosomal RNA", at positions 94 to 820 of the family's 1533-position model. The record is from RNAcentral.
AGUGGCGCACGGGUGAGUAACACGUAGGUCACGUGCCGAUUAGUGGGGGAUAACACAGGGAAACCUGUGCUAAUACCGCAUGUGAAGGUAACUUCAAAGGUGGCGCAAGCUAUCGCUAAUUGAACGGCCUGCGGCCUAUUAGCUAGUUGGUGGGGUAAUGGCCUACCAAGGCGACGAUAGGUAACUGGUCUGAGAGGAUGAUCAGUCACACUGGAACUGAGACACGGUCCAGACUCCUACGGGAGGCAGCAGUAGGGAAUAUUGCGCAAUGGGGGAAACCCUGACGCAGCAACGCCACGUGAGUGAGGAAGGUCUUCGGAUUGUAAAGCUCUGUCCUUAGGGAAAAAUGGUUUAGGCGUGAACAAUGCUUAGACUUGAUGGUACCUAAGAAGAAAGCACCGGCUAACUUCGUGCCAGCAGCCGCGGUAAUACGAAGGGUGCAAGCGUUGUUCGGAUUUAUUGGGCGUAAAGCGCGCGCAGGCGGACGAGAAAGUCAGAUGUGAAAUCUCAGGGCUUAACCCUGAAAUUGCGUCUGAAACUGUUUGUCUAGAAUAUUGGAGGGGAUAGGGGAAUUUCUCAUGUAGGGGUAAAAUCNGUAGAUAUGAGAAGGAACAUCGGAGGCGAAGGCGCCUAUCUGGCCAAUUAUUGACGCUGAGGCGCGAAAGCGUGGGGAGCAAACAGGAUUAGAUACCCUGGUAGUCUACNNCGUAAACGAUGAGUACUAGU